UUGAACGCUGGCGGCAGGCCUAACACAUGCAAGUCGAGCGGAUGAAGGGAGCUUGCUCCUGGAUUCAGCGGCGGACGGGUGAGUAAUGCCUAGGAAUCUGCCUGGUAGUGGGGGAUAACGUCCGGAAACGGGCGCUAAUACCGCAUACGUCCUGAGGGAGAAAGUGGGGGAUCUUCGGACCUCACGCUAUCAGAUGAGCCUAGGUCGGAUUAGCUAGUUGGUGGGGUAAAGGCCUACCAAGGCGACGAUCCGUAACUGGUCUGAGAGGAUGAUCAGUCACACUGGAACUGAGACACGGUCCAGACUCCUACGGGAGGCAGCAGUGGGGAAUAUUGGACAAUGGGGGAAAGCCUGAUCCAGCCAUGCCGCGUGUGUGAAGAAGGUCUUCGGAUUGUAAAGCACUUUAAGUUGGGAGGAAGGGCAGUAAGUUAAUACCUUGCUGUUUUGACGUUACCAACAGAAUAAGCACCGGCUAACUUCGUG
Molecule: ribosomal RNA, 483 nt
Filed under: uncultured bacterium
Lineage: Bacteria
Description: partial 16S ribosomal RNA
Rfam family: Bacterial small subunit ribosomal RNA
Source: RNAcentral